CUCCCACACACCCCGUUUUCUAAAUUAGCCCCAUCCCCACCUACUCCUCUUUCCCUUUUCUUGCUUCCAGCCGCUCGUAGCUGGCGGGUGUCGCGCGGUCCGGAGCGGCUCGGCGCCGGCCACGGACACCUUCUCCCGGGCUGCGCCUGGUUAGCUAGCCUCGGACCGACCCGGGCACGGGAAGGGGCCACGACUCCGGGCCAGCCCCUCCCGCAGCCAGCCGCCCGUUUGAAGUCGCGAGCCCGGCAGGAAUGCAGCCGGGUUAUCAAUCACCCAGCUGGAUCCCGAAGGUCUCAGCCUAAUCACAUUUAAUUGCUCGUGGAGGCCCAUUCUCGCCCCCGGCUCGCCGCCGCGCUCAAUUACUCCCCAAAUACCUGCCAUCAAUAAACGUGCACUGACACCGGGCCCGGCCCGCUCCGCUAACCCAAGAGAUUCCAGCCGACCAGGCUUACGUCGGGCGUUAUGUGAUCUAGACAACCCAGGGGUGAAGCCCUGCCACCCCGCCACGCCACGGCGGCUGGAGGAACGCACGAAACAACAGCGCCUCCCAGAGGCGGGCGCCUCGCCUCCGCCUACCCCGCAGCGGUGCGCUGGCCAGGGAGCAUCGCCAGCGUUCAGGUGCACGCCCGCAGUCUUUUUUAAGACCAAGAUCCACUAUCGGAAGAAGAAGCAGCUUUUGAGGCUGUGGAAACAAGCAGAGAAGAAUGUGGAGAAGAAAAUCAGCAAGUUCACGAGGUCCUCAAGACUGUUGUGUGCUGUGCCCACACAACAAGCACUUGGCUUUUGUGGCUUCAGGAGACAACAGUAAGGCAGGGAACAGCAGGUGCUUCGUGAUGCUUGGCUUGGAGAGAAGGCCCUGACUGCUUGGUGAGUUUUAUGCCUGUUGGGACUCAUCUUUGGAACAGAUGUACAAAGCUCUCAAGUGGGUAGCUUUGGGGCCUGGUGGAACAUGACUGCAGGACAGGAUGACGCCGAAGACCAAGAACUGACCUUGUUUUCCCUGGUGCCUGGAAUGGGAGGCAGACUGAGAAACGUUAGGGCACUGGAGCAUGGCCAGGCACUGCCUCCAGCCACCUUGCUUUGUCAAGACCAGCUGAGAUAGGUGGUAGUUCUAGUAAUUUGUACAGUACAGGUUAGUGUCUCUGGUUGUUGACCCUUCUUCAGUCUACCAUAGAACCAGACAUAUGCUGCAUGGGUAGAAGGAAAUAUAAUGAUAUGUUUUUAAAAUAGAAAUUUAUUUCUCACAUUUCUGAAGGUGUACAAAUGCGUCACUGGCUUGUUUCGGGAGAGAGGCUGCCCUCUGCUUCCAAGAGACCCCUUGUUGCUACGUCCAUUGUGGGGAGUGUGUGUCCUCAAAUGGCAGGAGGGAGGGGAGGGCAAAGGGGCUGAACUCCAUCUCUCAAGACCCUUUAUUAAGGUGCUAAUCCCAUCCAUGAGGGAGAAGGUGCUAAUCUCAUCCAUGACCGUAGAGCCCUGAGGCCUAAUCGCUGUCAAAAGGCUCCACCUUCUAAUCCUGUUGUAAUGGGGAUUAAGUUUCAACACGAAUCUUGGAGAAGACACAGACAUUCAAACCAUAGCCAGCCCCAAAUAAACAUGGCAUGAGUUAAGAUUCUAUGUCUCUCCCCUCAGUGCUGGUCUUAAAUCCCUUCUUUUGGCCUAUGACAUGGUGUCUGAUGGCAAUCUGAACGGAUGGAAAUGAGGGAGCGUGUGCCAGCGGGGAUCAUAGAAACAGAAAUGCCUGCAUCAGGAAUCCCAGAGCCCAAAGCCCUUUACAACCUCUGAAAGACAGAGUGCUCCCAUCCUGGAGACUUCCACCCCGGGUCGUGGCUUGAAGAAUCUGUCUCAUGAAAGCUGCUUCCAACAAGCAUUUAAAAUCAUCCAUCCAAAAAGAUAACUAAAUCGUGGCCAUUCAUUGCUCUGAAGCCAUCACACUGCAAUGAAAACAUGUAUUUAACUGGGGAAACACUGGAGGCUCACUCUCCCUGGCCUCGGCUCCUUUUCUUCUCUCUUCCAUUGAGGGCUCAAAAUGUUAUGAUUCAUUUCAGCCCUGCCCAGCACAGCGGUGAGUUACAGACCCCAGCGUUCUGAGCCUAAGGGGUCCCGGGUGAGAUCAGCCCCCCAGCCCAUCCCAGCAUUCUCUCUGCAGCCAGCUCUGUUUGUUCUUUGACUCUUUUGAUCAUUGCUAUAACAGUAGCCAAGCAGAGGAAAUUAAGCUUUUGUAUUUUCGGCUAAUCCAUGACCCUGGAUAAUUUGUAAGAGACAUCU
Meriones unguiculatus (Mongolian gerbil) is the source of this 2265-nucleotide long non-coding RNA. RefSeq lists it as uncharacterized. Lineage: Eukaryota; Metazoa; Chordata; Mammalia; Rodentia; Muridae. The record is from RefSeq and is a predicted model, not a curated record. The transcript is spliced from 3 exons.